Molecule: ribosomal RNA, 406 nt
Filed under: uncultured bacterium
Lineage: Bacteria
Description: partial 16S ribosomal RNA
Rfam family: Bacterial small subunit ribosomal RNA
Source: RNAcentral
GACGAACGCUGGCGGCGUGCCUAACACAUGCAAGUCGAACGAGUGGCGGACGGGUGAGUAAUGUCUGGGAAACUGCCUGAUGGAGGGGGAUAACUACUGGAAACGGUAGCUAAUACCGCAUACCAUCAGAUGUGCCCAGAUGGGAUUAGCUAGUGGGUGGGGUAACGGCUCACCAAGGCGACGAUCCCUAGCUGGUCUGAGAGGAUGACCAGCCACACUGGAACUGAGACACGGUCCAGACUCCUACGGGAGGCAGCAGUGGGGAAUAUUGCACAAUGGGCGCAAGCCUGAUGCAGCCAUGCCGCGUGUAUGAAGAAGGCCUUCGGGUUGUAAAGCACUUUCAGCGAGGAGGCGUUACUCGCAGAAGAAGCACCGGCUAACUCCGUGCCAGCAGCCGCGGUAAUAC